RNAcentral lists this ribosomal RNA (253 nucleotides) under uncultured bacterium. RNAcentral describes it as "partial 16S ribosomal RNA". It matches the Rfam family "Bacterial small subunit ribosomal RNA", at positions 524 to 776 of the family's 1533-position model. The record is from RNAcentral.
UACGGAGGGUGCAAGCGUUGCUCGGAAUCAUUGGGCGUAAAGCGUACGCAGGCUGUUCGUUAAGUCGGGUGUGAAAGCCCGGGGCUCAACCCCGGAACUGCGCCCGAAACUGGCGAGCUUGAGUGCGGGAGAGGGAAGCGGAAUUCCUGGUGUAGAGGUGAAAUGUGUAGAGAUCGGGAGGAACACCGGUGGCGAAGGCGGGUCUCUGGGCAAUUCCUGACGCUGAGGCGCGAAAGCGUGGGGAGCAAACGGG